RNA transcript from Triticum aestivum (bread wheat), 4287 nucleotides. RefSeq lists it as uncharacterized. The transcript is spliced from 3 exons. The record is from RefSeq and is a predicted model, not a curated record. NCBI's taxonomy places the organism in Eukaryota, Viridiplantae, Streptophyta, Magnoliopsida, Poales, Poaceae.
CGCCGCGGCUCCUUGCCCAAUCGCAUCCACACCAGGCGAACCCUAGCCUCCUUUCCCCCGAUCCCCCAGCCGCCGAACGGCCUCGCUCCUCCUUCCCUCCCGCUGUGCCCUCUCCUUGCUCGCAGCCGCCUCCUUUACACCUCCGCCCGAGCUCCGCCUUCCUUGCCGAUCUCCCUCCUCCUGCCUCCUCCCUCCCGCGCCUCUCCCUCCUCCUGCCUCCUCUCUCCCGCUUCACCACAGCCGUCGGUCCCCUCCCUCCCCGUCCACCCUCUCCCUCUCGUUAGCCGCUGCUGCACGAACCUCUCGGAUGGGUGCUGGGUAGAAGGUCGCGGCGAGUCUGCCACAAAGGAAGCAGCAGGGACUUGGUGGAUGUCUUUGCUCUGCAGGGGAGUGAAAGAAGGAGAUGAGGGAGAAAGAGAGAGGAAAGAGGAGACGGAAGUGCGGCGGCUGAUGGGACAUGGUUGACGGCGGCUCGAUCAGCUCCUGGAUUGAGAGCUGCCAGGAGGCUGGGGCUUGGGCGCGAUGCAUGGGAGGCUGCAGUCCACCUCUUCCUUGUGGUGCAGCGGACGCCGGCAUCAGCGGGUGGGCGACAGACCGCGGCCUCAGCGGGUGGGCGACGACACCUGCAGCUGGUGCUAUACCCAUGGAUUCUGGCACAACUCGAAACAUUCAGGUGAUUGAAGGUUAGCUGUUCUAAUCAAGGAAAUAACAUAUAUCUGCAUGGUUGUUAUUCUUGUUGUUCAUCGACGGUUGCUGUGGUUGAGGCAUGUUAUGCUCGGUGCUAUGCCUACAUGUGGUUUUGAUCGUCUCCCAGGAAAUCUGAACCACGCACAUCUCUUGAUUUUGCAGGUACGAGCAUACAUAUAACAUGGGUUGCCAUGAAAGAUGUCUUCCCAUCUCAGGUGAUGAAGAUGGCGUACCUUUAUUUUUUGACACAAGUACUGAUCGGUGUUGGAAUUGGGCUUUAUAAACUUGGCUUUCCAGCAGUUGGUUUUCCUCCAUCGCCUGCUUAUUUUCCCUCUUCGAAGAGUGAAUAAAAGAUACAUGAUGAAAUACAGGUGGACAAGUGUGUGGAAAUUGGACUUCCAGAACUCAUCCUAAUGGUCGCAUUUUCUCAGGUACACAUUACAAAUUUUUAUGAAUUUCUGCUGGACCAAACCAUUGUUUAAAUGGUUUUGAAUGAGGUUAUGUUGUACUAAUCAUGUUUGUUUCCUAGACGAUAUUUUCCUCAUCUGUUGCAUUCUGGAAAGUGUCUUUGGUCGGUUUUCUGUUCUUUUCACUGUUUCAAUCGUGUGACUAUACACAUGUAUCCUCACAAUUAGUGGCGCUUACAAGAAUGGCAGGCCUACUUGUAGCUUUUCUUAUGUAGUUAAAUAAAACAACCCAGGGUCUCACACUUUACUUCCUUUCUAAUAUAAUAAGGCUGCUAUUGCCUGUUAAUACUUCACAUUGGUGAUGAGCUUUACACCAGUUAUAGUUCAUCGAUUAUCUUCUGCCUUUCUGAUAAACAUAAUUAUAUGUUAAUUUGCUAUAUUUUUUUCUUACUUUUUUUUUAUCAAACUGCCAUAUAUGAUACAUGAAGAAGCAUUUACCUGAAGGCGUUAAUAGUGUUUUCACAUAGAAUUUGUUCUUUUUAUGCUCCCUUAAUUAGAUGCUCAAGAAACCUGAUAAGCGUCACGUUGAUUCAGACUUGGUGCUAGAUAUGUUAGCCCCCAUUUAUCCUUGACAAGUACCAUAUUCUCAAAUCUAUAUGGUUAGUUGUACUUAUUUUACGUUGGAGCUACAGAUGCAUCUCAGUCAUUUACGGAAACUAAAAUCUGCAUCUUCAGCUCAUAGUUUGCCAAAAUUUCUUGAGAUUUAUUCAUAUUGUUCUUAGGUACUUCAAGUCAAACUUUCUUGAGAUUUAUUCAUGUUGUUCUUAGGUACUUCAAAUCAAACUCUACAUGCAAUUGAUGGGGCUACAUGAUAGUCACUUUAAUAUAUCUUCUUGGAAGCCGCUUAGUGUUUCCAUGAAUAAUUGUUGCUGGUCUGUUGCAUGCCUUCAUUGUUUGGUGGGCUACUUCCUUCAUGGUGUGGUUGAAGAAUUUUCAGAGGCACGGUUCAUCUUGCGUGCAACUUUUAGCUUGAGUUUCUAUUGACACAUUACAUUUCCUUUUCCUGUAGACCUCUCCUUUUUCAUUUUAUUAUACCUGGGUGUAAUAGCAAGUCGUCUAUAAUCAUUUUGUUUAACUACAAUCCGAUGCAAAAAACUUUUGUUUAGUCCUCAUAGUUCAUCCAUUAUAUGUUUGCUUUCAAACCAAAGAAAUCGGGGGUCCAGGUUCUGAUCAUGCUCCGAUUGAGUCUAUGUAGCCGUCCUUGUUUUUUUUCUAUACGCUUGCAUCAUCUAGGUUCUGACCAUGGCACAAUCUUGUUUCAAAUUUGUUCUCCUAUAUGUAUGCGCUGUGAUGAUUGAUGAGGCGUAUUGGUGGAAAUAAAUCUGAAGCAAAUAAGAGCUGCGAGCAACUGGUUGUGCCCCUAUUAACCUGCUCAAUAUUCGUGUUGUUUGCCUGUCAGUCGAAUGCCCGCUAUUCAGCAGACAGGUAUCUCCAUUUCUUAAAUCCCUUUCUCUAUUCAACGCCCAGUUGAUACGUGGUUAGGAAUCAGAUAAAUUUUACUCAUAUAAUUUCAUAUAUCUAAAAUACCGUGUCCAGAUAGCUUAGAAACCAGCGUUAGAAAGGACCUGAUACACAUUACAAUUAUGGACUGCUGAUAUACCUGAUGCAUUUCUUCAUGAUGGUCGGUUCCCUUUCUCCAGAUCUUACAUAUUUAAUUAUAUGAGUUCGGAAGCCAAAACUGAUUGAGAUCUUUUGUUCUUACUUGCAGAUGUUCUGUUAUUCAGAGUACUUCAGUUUCCAGUCUCUAUAUAUUAAUCAAAUUAUGGGUUAUUUUGAACCUUAUAGGCUUUUAUAUUAUGUUCAGUUAUGCUUCCAUGGGUUUUUCAUAUGUAUUAACAAAAGAACCAGACUACUAUUUUGUUUAUACUUGAAUCAAAGGACGUACAAUUAAUUUGCUAUUAUGGAAGGACUGAGUAGGCAGCUAGCUGAAUGAGAGGACAAUCAUGACAAGCAAACCAACACAUAAAUAGUAAUCCCACAAUUUUUUACAACUGCAUUCCAGUGAACUUUGGUAUGGAUAUGCAUUUUUAUCCUUGGGAGUACUUUGGAUUUUAAGUGGGAAUCAUAGUUCUUUUCUUCUUAACUUUGGUAUGGCAAGCAAUGCAGGUGAUAUUCCUAAUGGUUGCUGUUGACGCUGAAAAACUACUCUUGAAGCACUAGAAGUGCCCUCUCUAUGGUGCAUCACUCACUGGAUCCAGAUGGGCAACCUUCCGCUUCAAAAUUAGAAGAGCGCAGUUUUUGCCUGUUGUCAUUGCUUACAAAGAGUAAUCUACCAUGUCCCUAAUAUACAUACAUAAUUGUUGCACCAUCACAAGAUUUCCGUGAUAUGCAUGUGCAUACCUUUCUUUACUGUGAAUUAAUUGACAUGAUGAUGACAGGAGGAAAGGCAGGCUGUCAUUUCUAAAGGUUGAGAUUUUCUGUUUUAAGGAAUGGCAACCAUCUGUUCCUUGUCUGGCAUAUGUAUUUGCUUUGCCCUCUGUUUUUGAUAAGGCAAGGCAGAUCAAAUAAACACAGUAAUCGUUUAAUCCUUCACUAUAUUCUGAAAAAAGCACUAUGAUUUUCCGUGUCAGGGUAGUACUAUGUCAAAAUGAUGCUUUGUACUACAUGUUCUGGUGUAUUCCUUGACAAUAUUAGGCAUUUGCAUUGUCCUUUGCUUUGUUUGUUCAUGCUGCAUUAGUUUUUUUAGUUAUAGCCGGUUUUAUUUCUGAUUCGAACUAUCAUGUUUUCAUUUGUUUCUUAUAAAUUCUUUUUGAUAAGAAGAUGUUGUCUUCCAGUUGUAUAUUUGUUCUCUUGAUUUCAUUUGUUUCUUAUGCAAGGGUUCUCAAAUUAUUUUUGUGGGCAAGAUAAAACUUAAAAGGUGAUCUGGGACAAGUGGAAGGAGGGAAGCCGCUGUAAGAUCGAUAAUGACUUGCCGACAAGAGCAUGUUCGUUCAGAAGUUUCCUUACUAAAAGUUAUUUAUCUGUAGCAAGUGUUUCUAUUGGAACUAUCAAAUUCAAACUCCUAGGUGUCUAUGUCAGGAUGUAGGACUUUGUCCGGGCAGAGAUAUCCCCUCUGAUCUUUUCGUGAAUCCUUUCAUACUUCUUUCUGUAAAGUGCUGCUGAUUUUAAUAAAAUCCCUUUGUUCAAAAAACAA